Molecule: non-coding RNA, 209 nt
Organism: Procambarus clarkii (red swamp crayfish)
Lineage: Eukaryota; Metazoa; Arthropoda; Malacostraca; Decapoda; Cambaridae
Source: RefSeq, a predicted model, not a curated record
GUUACAGACUGUAAAAUCUCGACCAGCGCGUGUUUAGCCAGGGGAGGCCACUGCAGCGACACAUGCAACGCAGAUGAGGACACAGUCAACAAUAUCUGCAGUAGUCCAGGCUGCUCCUGUUGCGUUAAAAACUGCAAAACUCCAACCAGCGCGUGUACAGCCAGGGGAGGCCACUGCAGCGACAAAUGUAACACAGAUGAGGACACAAU